UGUCUCCUCCACCCCUCCACAGGAGUGGAUUUAAACCCGACGCCACAGCGCAGUUCGGGUUUUCUUUU
Molecule: small RNA, 68 nt
Organism: Collimonas fungivorans Ter331
Lineage: Bacteria; Pseudomonadati; Pseudomonadota; Betaproteobacteria; Burkholderiales; Oxalobacteraceae
Rfam family: Betaproteobacteria toxic small RNA
About the family: Overexpression in amino aid rich medium attenuates growth, suggesting role in repressing amino acid intake and metabolism.
Source: Rfam